GACAGAGGAGCCAAGCGUUGUCCGGAUUGACUGGGCGUAAAGCGCACGCAGGCGGUCGCGCGCGUGGGGUGUGAAAUCUGGCCGCUUAACGGCCAGGCGCCAUCCCAUACGGCGCGACUGGAGUGAUGCAGAGGUCGAUGGAAUUGCCGGUGUAGUGGUGAAAUGCGUAGAGAUCGGCAGGAACACCCAAGGGGAAGCCAGCGGACUGGCACGGUGCUGACGCUGAGGAGCGAAAGCGUGGGGAGCGAACAGG
Molecule: ribosomal RNA, 253 nt
Filed under: uncultured bacterium
Lineage: Bacteria
Description: partial 16S ribosomal RNA
Rfam family: Bacterial small subunit ribosomal RNA
Source: RNAcentral